GCGCUUGUGAUGUAGUGGUUAGCAUAUUGCUCUUAUACUUGCUACGCUCAGCGAAGCUUGUGUGGUAGAAAUGCAAAGGUCGUGAGUUCAAUCCUCACCUGGCGCA
This 106-nucleotide transfer RNA is filed under the name Xylaria castorea. RNAcentral's name for it is "tRNA-Ile". It matches the Rfam family "tRNA". From Rfam's summary of the family: Transfer RNA (tRNA) molecules are approximately 80 nucleotides in length. Their secondary structure includes four short double-helical elements and three loops (D, anti-codon, and T loops). Lineage: Eukaryota; Fungi; Ascomycota; Sordariomycetes; Xylariales; Xylariaceae. The record is from RNAcentral.